GACGAACGCUGGCGGCGUGCUUAACACAUGCAAGUCGAACGGAAAGGCCCUGCUUUUGUGGGGUGCUCGAGUGGCGAACGGGUGAGUAACACGUGAGUAACCUGCCCUUGACUUUGGGAUAACUUCAGGAAACUGGGGCUAAUACCGGAUAGGAGCUCCUGCUGCAUGGUGGGGGUUGGAAAGUUUCGGCGGUUGGGGAUGGACUCGCGGCUUAUCAGCUUGUUGGUGGGGUAGUGGCUUACCAAGGCUUUGACGGGUAGCCGGCCUGAGAGGGUGACCGGCCACAUUGGGACUGCGGUACGGCCCAGACUCCUACGGGAGGCAGCAGUGGGGAAUAUUGCACAAUGGGCGGAAGCCUGAUGCAGCAACGCCGCGUGCGGGAUGACGGCCUUCUGGUUGUAAACCGCUUUCGCCUGUGACGAAGCGUGAGUGACGGUAAUGGAUAAAGAAGCACCGGCUAACUACGUG
RNAcentral lists this ribosomal RNA (468 nucleotides) under uncultured bacterium. RNAcentral's name for it is "partial 16S ribosomal RNA". It matches the Rfam family "Bacterial small subunit ribosomal RNA", at positions 28 to 507 of the family's 1533-position model. The record is from RNAcentral.